GACGAACGCUGGCGGCGUGCUUAACACAUGCAAGUCGAACGGAAAGGCCCUGCUUUUGUGGGGUGCUCGAGUGGCGAACGGGUGAGUAACACGUGAGUAACCUGCCCUUGACUUUGGGAUAACUUCAGGAAACUGGGGCUAAUACCGGAUAGGAGCUCCUGCUGCAUGGUGGGGGUUGGAAAGUUUCGGCGGUUGGGGAUGGACUCGCGGCUUAUCAGCUUGUUGGUGGGGUAGUGGCUUACCAAGGCUUUGACGGGUAGCCGGCCUGAGAGGGUGACCGGCCACAUUGGAACUGAGAUACGGCCCAGACGCCUACGGGAGGCAGCAGUGGGGAAUAUUGCACAAUGGGCGGAAGCCUGAUGCAGCAACGCCGCGUGCGGGAUGACGGCCUUCGGGUUGUAAACCGCUUUCGCCUGUGACGAAGCGUGAGUGACGGUAAUGGGUAAAGAAGCACCGGCUAACUACGUG
Molecule: ribosomal RNA, 468 nt
Filed under: uncultured bacterium
Lineage: Bacteria
Description: partial 16S ribosomal RNA
Rfam family: Bacterial small subunit ribosomal RNA
Source: RNAcentral